UACAAUUUUAUCCAACAAAGAAUGAAGUUGUCAUGUUCAUUACAAAAUUACAUUCAUGAAGAAGAAGAAGAAAUAAUGUACAUAAAUUCGUCUCAGCGAACAAAUGUACUAUUUACUAGUGCAAGAAUCUGUAUGGUGGUAAGAAUGUACAUCUUGGUAAACUACCAGGGAUACCAUGUCCAGAACUGCAACUUCGCGUCCUCGACUACACUCGGCACCAUCGAGAUCCUUCGGUCAGUGUGUUGGCGUCUCAAAGCAAAAUCGCAACUAAACAUCAAGAUAGGCAUCUUUGGCAUACUGCUCCGGCUGAAUAAGUCAUUGCAUUGCAAAGUCCAUGGCUGCAGACAAGAGAUAAAGGAGUAAGUUUCAUCAAUAUCAACAGUAGCCAACAGUUUGGCAACACCAGAAACAAACAAUGCACAAGGAAGCCAUCAGGCAACAACAUAGCCAAGUAGCCAGAGAACUAAAUCUGGACAGCCACUAUGGCAUUAUCCAGCAACCUAAAGUGCAUGAUGCCUAAUGGAACUAGUUCUCGACAAACACUAUGGGAACACAAGGUGAAGUAACUAAUCCAGUUAACCUAAGACUUUAUGCAAUAGAGAAACUCUAUUAGACGUAGUAAUUUCCCUUGCUUUCAACAACAGCCUAGGCAAAACGCUAUCGGAAAUUAGAAGUCAUUGUGUCAUCACGAGUACGAGUAUGAACCACACUAAACCUAAACAUUACCACCUCCAAAUGGUAGGAACAUAUAGUCAGCCGUCACACAAUUUGAGCACAACCAUAGCAACAUCAAGGGACUAAAUCUACAAGUCUAUAACCAAGUAAAUGAAUGGUUCUAUGUUACUCAACAUGAACAAAGAACAGAGAUUAGGAAUGUAAACACCAAGUUCACAUCCAAGUACCCAACUCAAGAUCGGUGGAAACGAACGAGUCUCUCCACUUGACAAGGUCGUACAGUUCUCAUCAAUCACAUGUGUGUGCACCACUGUUUUUUGAGUCAUAACUAGAAAUCGACUCAAACACCUCGACUAGUCGAUCGACAAGGCAUGGCUCGUCAAGAGUCUCUACCCCAGAAUGAAUCGUCGACUCGAAAACCUUGGUGCACGCGUGCGCACACACAAAGCAUGUAUGUCCAGAUGACCAACCCACAAGCCAUGCCCUACCCUAGAGAAUACCAAAUACCAUAGCUCAAAGGCCAGGAUCACAACAUGGCCUUGACACGAUGGCAGGCACCACGAAGCAUUGGGUAGAGUAGGGAUGUGACCGAAAACAGAGAAAAGAACACGCAACUCGGAGUUAAAACACUUUACUCACAAGAAGAUGUGUAUGUACAGCAAGAAAUGGAAGAAACUACAACACUUUCGAGGCAUAACUUUACAACCAAGUUCCAGUGCCCCAAUUCGAUGGCUGAGAGCACACUAUGACAUCAUCGCCACAAGAAUCACUUUCAGUUGCGGCCAGAGCAUGAUAGAUAGACGAAACAAAGAACUUACGUUUUGGAGUUGUAGCUGAUGCUCAACAUCAACACGCCAGCAGCAGCCCACAUAACAAAGUCGCAGACCAUGACCAUGAUGGCCACCAGGUUGGAGAAAUGCAGGAAAGAUGAGACCACAACAG
RNAcentral lists this long non-coding RNA (1617 nucleotides) under Triticum aestivum (bread wheat). RNAcentral describes it as "long non-coding RNA (TAES_LNC021893)". The record is from RNAcentral. Lineage: Eukaryota; Viridiplantae; Streptophyta; Magnoliopsida; Poales; Poaceae.